This 467-nucleotide ribosomal RNA is filed under the name uncultured bacterium. Its description in RNAcentral is "partial 16S ribosomal RNA". It matches the Rfam family "Bacterial small subunit ribosomal RNA", at positions 28 to 507 of the family's 1533-position model. The record is from RNAcentral.
GAUGAACGCUGGCGGCGUGCUUAACACAUGCAAGCCGAACGGAAAGGCCCAAGCUUGCUUGGGUACUCGAGUGGCGAACGGGUGAGUAACACGUGGGUGAUCUGCCCUGCACUUCGGGAUAAGCCUGGGAAACUGGGUCUAAUACCGGAUAGGACCACUUCUUGGAUGUUGUGGUGGAAAGUUUUUUCGGUGUGGGAUGAGCUCGCGGCCUAUCAGCUUGUUGGUGGGGUAAUGGCCUACCAAGGCGUCGACGGGUAGCCGGCCUGAGAGGGUGUACGGCCACAUUGGGACUGAGAUACGGCCCAGACUCCUACGGGAGGCAGCAGUGGGGAAUAUUGCACAAUGGGCGCAAGCCUGAUGCAGCGACGCCGCGUGGGGGAGGACGGCCUUCGGGUUGUAAACUCCUUUCGCUAGGGACGAAGCGUUUUGUGACGGUACCUGGAGAAGAAGCACCGGCUAACUACGUG